AACAGUAGUCACUUAAAGAUUGUGGUUUGGAACAGGUCACUUUGUAUAACUUUGAUAUGACUGUAUCACCAUUAUACACCAUAUGCACAUAAAGGUAUUUUGAUUUUGUAAAGCACCUUUAUCCAAACAAUGUGUUGAGGGACAUAAUA
Sinocyclocheilus rhinocerous is the source of this 149-nucleotide long non-coding RNA. RefSeq lists it as uncharacterized. The transcript is spliced from 3 exons. Lineage: Eukaryota; Metazoa; Chordata; Actinopteri; Cypriniformes; Cyprinidae. The record is from RefSeq and is a predicted model, not a curated record.